This is a non-coding RNA of Struthio camelus australis, 7584 nucleotides long. The record is from RefSeq and is a predicted model, not a curated record. NCBI's taxonomy places the organism in Eukaryota, Metazoa, Chordata, Aves, Struthioniformes, Struthionidae.
CGAAGCGCGGAGGCGUGUGAGGCACCGCAGGGAGACGGCGGUCGUUUCCCGAGGCUCUGGAGGGCUCGGUCACUGCCCGCCUUCCCCCUGCGUUUUAUCCAAGAGGGGGUUCGGUGUCAUCCUUGAGGCCCCACCGCCUGCGAUCAAGGGAUUACACGGCGAUCUCAGUUAUAACUCGAGCAAAUACAUCUCAUAAUUACUGCGGUGGGGAAAGCUUUCAGUCAUAAAUGCUAAAAGGACCAAUAUCAGGAACGUCUUGUUUUAAAAUACCAUUAAAAAGACCCCAGCGAUUUCUAGGGACCCAGCUAACGGUUCUAACCGAUUUCUCAAUAGUAUGUUGCUUGCUCUGCAGAACAUCAUCCACUGAAGCUCGGUGUUGGAAACUGCAGGUUUGGUUACCGACAGGUGGGAGCUACUUGCACGCUUGGUGCUUCUCGUACCACGAUGAACAGAGCUCUCCAUUGCUGUUGGUAUUCAUCAUGCCACUUAAGGAAUGCAGUAACGUGGAUGUGUGAGCAAACCGUAGGUCUUAGGCCACGACUUAGAUUGCCUCUCUGCAGCUCCUGGUGCAGAAGACACUUGGGUCAGACUCCAAAAACGGGGGGGACUUGGGCAACUUAAGUAAAACUGAGCUGGAAUUUAGGUCCUUCCAUCCAAGACCACAGUUCUGAAAGUCACUGCUGAGCUGUUGCCUGGUGUUGUAGGUGAAUAAAAACUCUAUAGCCUCAUUUAUUUACUUAUUUUUUACUUUAAGGUACCCAGAUAGUCUAAAGAUAAAUUACGCUGUUUGUACAAGCAUGCUACUGUCUCAAGAGAGCUAAGCAACUAAAUGUUGCCAGAGAAGGGGGCCGGCAGAAGCACUAGCGAAGCAUACUGUGGAACUGGUUAUCCCGGCCGCCCCGGCUCACCAGGAGAGCUGCGAUGCGAGGGGCAUGCCCAGUGCGGUGAACUGUGCCCGAGCUGCUGCUGGCAGCACCUGGCAGCAACCUGAGGAGAAAGGCUGCUGGAGGGAGAAGCGGCGGAAGGGAGACCAAAUGGCCACACUUUUGUGCUAGUCUGGUGGUGCUUACUACAAAUCUGUGCUUCCAUAUAGCUGGUUUGGUCCCCAGCACGGCGUUCUCACGCUUUUUGGAUGAUCGCAGCCUUUUUGUUAGGUCGUGGGUUCGCUUUGAGAAAAAAAAAGCCUCUUUGCAUCACUGUGGAGCAAACUCCAUACAGGAACUUAACCUGUAAUUUCACUCUGAAGACUGCUCUUUGGAUUUAGCUCAAGGUAGUACCUUUCAGCCUUCUCUUGUUUUCAAGAUAGUGUAAAAAGUACUUGGUUUAACUAUUCCUUCAUUCCUUAAUACUUCACAUUAUUUUGAUGCUUGCUUCUAGGAGCAGGUUUUAAAUUAAUAAAAGAUCAUACUGAGGAUCUGAUCCAAAAGCCAUUAACAUCCAUGAGACUCCAUUGAUUUCAGUUGGCUGAAAGUAUUUUACUUAUUGAUGGAAUAGCGAAUUAUAAUACGUAUUUCUGUACUUUUGCUUUGCAACAAUUUAGAGCAGACAGCUCUAAAAAUAAAUGUCAUUCAUUCCACAGACCAGAUGCAUCUCUUACAAUCUCAUUAAUUUUAACUACAAAAUGUUAACAUAUUAAGCUGCUGCCAAAAGCUAUCUAUCUCCAAACAAUAAAAAAACCCUGCACCAUUUUGUUCUUAAUUGACUCUUCUGAGCAUUUUUCCAAUCUUUUGAGUGCAGAGUACAACAAGAGACUUAAAAAAGACUUUUAACCACUGUUUGUAUAGUUUGUGAUUUAUUGUAGAAAAGUUAUUGUAAUGCAGUUCAUUUUUGUACAUCUAAAUUCCAUAAAACAAAUCCAUAGAAAUGAGGAUACUACAAGCAUGCAGUCUGCAUUUUCUUUUUUAAAUGAUUCUGGUCACAAAAAUAACAACACUUUUUUUUUUUUUUCUUUGAAAGCCACUAAAGCAGAGGGAGAGCAAAGCAUGCAACACUGUACACAUUUGCAUAGUAUAGUUUACCCAUGCCUUGUAGAAUGCUACACAUACAGUAUCUAUAGAAGUAGGAACAGAAAGGGGCAAAUCAACAAAGAAGAAAACAUACAUUUUUCCCCUUUUUUUUUAGUAAAGGCAAUAAUGUCUUUACCAUAGUGAGUCUGAACUGGCUCCAAGUGAUGACACCGUCAAGCUAUCACUGGGAACUAGUUUGGCUGAGAAACAGAUUUUCUGGGAACUGAAAAGCCCAAGGUCCAUGGUUCGGUUUGAAUGACUCCUUUCAUCUUAUUACUCUAACAUUUUAUAUCUUGUGCAUACAUAAAAUUGUAUUUCACUUGAUUCUAUGCUAUCCUUGUACGAUUUCACUGACUUUAUCUUGUGUGUAUUAGAGGAGAACCAGGCCUGUUUCAAAGGUAAACGCAUUUUGGGUCUGGGCAUGCUUUCUUCUGUAAGCUUACUUUCUUUUUAUAUUUUAAAUUUCCAGCAAUGUCAUUGGAAAUUUUGGGUGGACUCUUUCACAGGUCUUAUAAUGUAAUAUCUUUUUUCCCCCGCUCUCCCCUGAUACACAAAGGCAAAUAGCAUUACAAUCCCAAGAACUUACUUAUCGGGAGUAUUUCAUUCCAGACCUUGGGCUACAAACAGUACUGGUCUAUUCAUCAGUCAUAUGCCAAAAUCUAUACAUUGGCCAUAAUCUGAAGUUUGUUUAUAUUCAUGUAAUUUCAAUUUUGAGGAGGAAAUUACAAGAAAUGAACGCAGGGACUAAUUUUUAAAAAAUCAUUUUUCAUUAACACGGAAGGAAUACAAGUUAUUGAAAACUCAAGUCAGAGACGCAAAAUGCAAGGCUUAGAAAUAAACUGUUGGAAGUAUCAGGCAGCAAUUUAAUCUGAUGGAAAAUGCAAUAAAUCCAUUGACACUGAAUCAAAAAAUCCACCUAUUUUUUUCAAAAAUACAAUGCCAAAUGUAAUAUUGGAAUUCUUGUAAAUUUGUGCUAUUAUAAAUGUGCUUUUUUUCCUUGCUCUGUUUUCAUCUCAUUGGCAAAAUAUAUCAUUUUGUACUGUACAGUAUAUUUUCUUACUAUAUUCAUUUUCUACUGCUUAUACAGAGUAGAAGUAUUAUCAAAGGGGACUGUGGCAAUAAUUUUUGAUUUUUCAGGAAAUAUUUGUAAGGCAUAUGAUAAGCGGUAUGUGGUAUUUACGGUCAGACAUUGCACAUUCUGACUUCCAGACAAGACAGUAAUAAACACUGUGUCCAGUAGUAGUUGUUUGUAGGAUCGAGUUCUAGAGAGAAUCGAGACAGUAGCUCACCGCUAAGAAAUGUGAAGGGAAAGGGCAAGUCUCCUAAACAUCACUGAGACCAAGUCAACGUUACUUCCAGCUUCACCACUUUCAAAGGAAUUAGCUGUGAAGCACAAGAGGAAUGGUACAGCCUUAUUAACGUUUUUAAAUCAUUUCUACCUUCUCUUCAAACUUUCUAUAUGGAUUCAAUUAGAGUAUUUCUCUUGACUUGUUAAAUGGAUUUCACAAGUCAGGAAAAAGACUUUUUUUCUCUCCAGCCUAACAAAAAUUUUGAUACUAAGUAGCAUUUAUAGCUCCUUAUCCAAGUUAAUUCCUUACAUGUGUAUUUUCUACAACAUUAUUAAAAUGUACCUUUAUUUUUAAAGACGUACCUUUAAUUUCUGUAUAAAAUAAAUUGGACUUGAAUAACAAUAUAAUAAAUGUUAUUCAAAUGACUGCUCUUAAAAUAAUAUACUCUCUUUUGGCAUCAUUUUAAAGAUAGUGGGAAUUUAAUUUCUCCAGAGUUUGAGCUGGCUACAUUACAUUAUCAUACAGUCCAGAUACUCUUAGUAGAACUACUAUUUGAAGGAGUAAGAGGUAGCUGCAACAAAAUACGUUAUAGCAGAACCCCACGUAUCCAAACUUAUAUUAACAACAGUUGGGGCAACAUAACCCAAUUUUAACAGAAAGAUUUUUAGGAGAGAAGACAGAUUUGUAUAAGUGGUAUUUUACACAAUAUGCAUAUGAUGAUUGUUUCAUUAAUGGUCACUAAUUAUUUUUACUUUAAAGAAUGAAAACCAUGGAAUCAAGGACAGGCUUCAUAAAUAAUGAACUCACAAAACAAAAUAUAGCAGAGGACAUGUUUGAGGUAUUCUUAAAGAAAGUAAUGGACCGAUGAAAGCCCUAACGUACUCAAAGUAGUAUACUAUAAAAUAACAGUAAGUGUUAACAAUAUUAUUUUGAGAACGGUAACGUCCGUAAAGAUGUGAGGUUCUGGGAAGGUCAGAGGAGUCCAUGGAAUUGAGACCGCAUUGAACUCAGAGAAGACUUGGAGUCAAACGAAACCCAAGUUAGGGGCGUGCACGCAUCUCGAGCAACUCCCGCUAGCUGGCACCGCCGCUAGCUGGCGCACAGAAGAGACCUGCCAAAAGCACUCUCUCGCCAGCAGCUUGCAACUACCUUUCCCCAAUUGGAAUCUUUACUCUUGUAAGAACUCAUUAAACAUUAUUUUAAAAGCAAGGAGCCUAGAAGGAUGAAAACCCCAGAUACCAACUGCAGAAGGAGCUCUCAAACCUGGGGAAAAAAACAGUAAAAUAUUUUUCUAUUAUUUGCUGCAAAACUAAAACUAGCAUUCUCAGUACGAUCACUGGAAAAGUGUCUGCUGAAGGCACAGAGCCAUCUCCAAUCUCAAGUACACAGGAAGUAUCUGGUGCCACCAGAGUAAGUCCAAAGCACGCGAAAUCAGAAGCAGGCUCAAUGCCCAGUAACUAAGAAAUAAGGUGAACAGCAAGAGAUAUAGGGCUUGCUACAGAAACUACUCUUGCUUAUGGAGCACAAAACCUGGGGCACCACUUAAUUGCCAUGCUAAGAUGAUUUUUCAAGAGGAAAUCUAGGUGUAGAGCCAUACUAUAUACUAUGAAUUCUCAAGCAGAGAAACUGAUCUUUGUCAAUCAGACCUGCUUAGAAAAUGAUUAUGUAAUUGCCCCAUUGUUUGUAAACUAAAAUUCGAUAUAAAACACCUUUAGUUAUGUUCCUUUAAGAAUUAAUUUCUUAAUAUAUUCAGGCAGAAAACAUAACCACUUUUGAGUUGUAUGUCCCAUGGGAUCAAUGUUUAUCUAUGUAAUUAUUAAAAGAACCCGCAGCACAUCUCUUACAUACAAACUAGCCAAAAAGAAAGGUUAACAAUGAACUGUCUUUAAAGCAGCUUCAAGAUUUUUAAAAUACUUUGUUAAUUCAUUUACAAACAUAUGAACGCACUGAAGUAUCUUGUCUGUAGAUAUUAAGAUUGUCAUGUCACCUUUAUUGACUAAAUUAGCAUUAAUCCCAAAGCGUCCUAAUGAAAAAGUCAGAUAACAAAAACCCAUCAACAUUUUAUAAACGUUUCUAAAAUCCUCUGUAUAAGCCAGAGCUUAGGAACAGAGCUCUGUUACAACAACAAGAAAUGGCAUGAGAACUGGAAAAUUAGUCUUACUCGUAUUCAUUCAGGAAUACAUGAACUUCACGAUUUCAUAUAGCGCCAUCGCGUAAUAAAUCACAAUACAGCUGGUUAGCAUUGCUGAAGUUCUAAUACAAAUACUAUGAGUUUACAUGUCCUGAUCAACAUUGCAACUGUUAUUGAUUACUGUGUUUCCUAAAAAUUAUUUUUAAAAUGAAAGAGUUCCAAUAGCUUGUAUCUAGAAUAAAUUAACAAACUAUUAGCCUGUUCGGUAUAUUCAUACUUAAAGAUAUAACUAUCUUCAAAGAAUAAAAAAAAACACCAAGCAGGGAGUUCGGCUGGAUCUUUUAUAACUGAUCGCUUACAUCAAAAUGGAAUGGAUGUGGGGGAGAAGAGGGUAAACUAAAUAAAAGAGUAAACUUAAGCCCACACAAUAAAGGAACUCAACGUGUUCUCUCAAGACGAUGCACGACUUCCCUCAAAAGCUUGUUUUUAUUAGAACAAAGUAGUUUUGGCACUUCAGACGCUGCAGUUGAUGGGAUUUGUGCAUAUGUAUUGUGUCCAUCUUUCCUUUUACUAGCAUGACAUGGAAGACUUAAAAACAAGGCUCCAAAAGGCUCUAGGAAUAAAUGACGUUUUUUGUCUAGGAAAUGAUAAAGCAGUAACCUUGUUCACUAGAAAAUAUAUGUAGGUGCUUUGCAGCUACCUGCCAUUAAAAUGCAAAUAUCUUCAAGCAGUUAAUGGUCUGAUCCCUAAUGCUACUACAGAAUAAAGAUAAACAGUUGUCUAAUCUAGGUUUAUACAUCUCAGUGCAUCCUUUGCAAUUAAUACUUUAAUGCACACAAACAAGAAACUUAUUAAAGCUUAUAGAAAAAAUGUUUUGCCUAAUGCCUUCUUUCUCAUGCAGGUAUGUGUGCUGUACAUGUAACAAAUAUUUGUAAAAAUUACUGGAGAACGCUCCACUGUGCUAUAGCAGAAAAUAUCAGAGAAGACAGCUUAAGCUACCAUUCCCAGACCAGAUCCUGCAGUGCUUCCUCAGGCUAAACGCUCUUUGGAAUCAGCAGCAAUUCAGCCUGAGAAAGUCAAACAGGAUCAGGACUUUCAUAGCCAUUCUUAACUCUGUUACUCCACUGGAUGCAGAUAUGUUACAUUUUUGAUCUUGGUAACUGGCCCGUUUGAAUCAUCCAGUGAUGUUCAAGGCCUUCUUUUAGGCAGUAGCUGUUCAAAAAACUAAUCAUGCAUCCGCUAUCUUCUAACGCUGCUAGAGAUGUACGUUACUUUUGGUUGUACCAGAUAUGAGAUGAGUUAUUUUUCUAGUUGUUAACUUCAAGAAGAUAACCAGGCUCAAGAGUGGUGGAAAAUAUCAGUGAUCUUUGCAAAUUGGUCCAGAAAGUAGAAGACCUCAUAAUACUCAGGAAAUGGAUUUACUGCUACAUGCUUUUGGAGCCUACUUUAGUAGGCUUUGGGAAGAAAAUAAGCAAAUACAAAAAUUAAUGAUCCUCAUUGUCAAAAAAAUAGUUUUGACAUGAACCUGCAUAAAAAAUGCAUGUUCAGCAUAGUUCAGUCAACUUUAGAAAACGCAUGCAGUGCGGAACUUUAGGAGUCUCUGCUUAAAUACAUCAAUGGGUCGUAUAAAAUGGUCAAUUAUGGUAAUUUUUUCAAUCACAUUGGAUCUAAGGCUUCAUUGAUAAUGUAAGACAUAAGGUCCAAUUACAUAAAUUUAUCUCUUUAAAAAUACUGAAGACUCAGUAGGUGAAAAGAAGUUUUUGUUAGGAAGUAAGGCAGCAAUAUCUCCAAAGAGUUAUCGUAGUUCUCUGAAUUAAAAAUGUCAGCUCUACAAAGUUACUGUGAGCAGGGUUAUUUUUUUUUGAUACUCUUAUUGUUAUUGCAAGCCAAUUCUGACCAACAUGUUAUUCUGAAUUUUCCUCAUUUCCAAAUGUUAAAAAAAAAAAACCCUUAGAUUUCAUCCACUAAAUUUUAAACAGCUGUUCUUCUGGAGAAUUCUUGUGCGAUGCUGGAGUUUGCAGACAUUCAAAGAUGGGUUUUGAAAGAUGUAACAUAUAGGUACUCAGAUGUACUGGAAUGUAGGUACUCUAUACACUGGGUAAGGAGAGUGUCUUAUUUUCCAUUUAAAAGGGCAGAAUAUUAAAAACGGGAGGAAAAA